GACACAGAUACAUUGUGGUGCCUCCACCCUGUGAAUCCUGCUCAGCAAUCCGAGGGAUGAGCAGUUGAUUCAGGCAACACCAUGGAUGGAUCUCAGGGCAUCGUGCUGAAGUCCCGCAUUCUUAGCAAGGUGCUGCUUCCUGCAGAUGGGCAAACACUGGUCCUUGGCAGGUGGAGAGGAAGACAGCUGAGGACACAGCAUCUCACUAGCCCCUCCUCACCCACCAGGUGCCAGGCCAGGUGUCACCUAAGCCAAGCAGCACACGACCGCCCCUGCCCACUUCCACCUCAGCCCUGACCCUCCCUGCACCUGGAAGUCCACUGCCUCCUGAUGUGUCUGUGAUCGGGGCAGCCCCAAGAGCACGUAUCCCGGGACAUGAUGUGUUGUGGUCUGUGUGGGGUCAGAGCCGUCAGUGUUCACUGCCGUGUCCCCAGUGCUUAGCACUGUUUGCCGCAUGGGAGGUGCAGGUCACAACCCGGUAGUGCCUAGUGGCCCAGGGGACACCUGGCUUGUCUGGGCCUGUUGGCUGACAGAUAGGAGGGACUGCCAUCCAUUGUUGGGGCAAAGGAUGCUGCUCAACCUCCCACAACGCAUGGAGCGGCCCGGCGCACAGACUCACCUGGCCCCAAACACCAAC
RNAcentral lists this long non-coding RNA (637 nucleotides) under Pan troglodytes (chimpanzee). RNAcentral describes it as "long non-coding RNA NONPTRT006129". The record is from RNAcentral. Lineage: Eukaryota; Metazoa; Chordata; Mammalia; Primates; Hominidae.